UCCGUGGAGGACUAGUGGUUCAGCCACAGCUUUCUCACCGACGCGGCCCGGGUUCGAUUCCCGGCCAGGGAA
Non-coding RNA from Pangasianodon gigas (Mekong giant catfish), 72 nucleotides. The record is from the annotation of a GenBank genome assembly. Lineage: Eukaryota; Metazoa; Chordata; Actinopteri; Siluriformes; Pangasiidae.